RNAcentral lists this non-coding RNA (36 nucleotides) under Marmota marmota marmota (Alpine marmot). RNAcentral's name for it is "XIST RNA A repeat". It matches the Rfam family "XIST RNA A repeat". The record is from Rfam by way of RNAcentral. Lineage: Eukaryota; Metazoa; Chordata; Mammalia; Rodentia; Sciuridae. RNAcentral also lists the same sequence under 1 other name.
UAGCCCAUCGGGGCCCCGGAUACCUGGCAUAUUUUU